Molecule: long non-coding RNA, 654 nt
Organism: Mizuhopecten yessoensis (Yesso scallop)
Lineage: Eukaryota; Metazoa; Mollusca; Bivalvia; Pectinida; Pectinidae
Exons: 2
Source: RefSeq, a predicted model, not a curated record
AGAGACUGUCGGGUAACACUAAAAGGUUAAGGUACUACACUGUUAUCGUAUCUUACAAUGUCUGUAUACACUAUAGUGAGAGACUGUCGGGUAACACUAAAAGGUUAAGGUACUACACUGUUAUCAUAACUUACAAUGUCUGUAUACACUAGAGUGAGAGACUGUCAGGUAAUACUAAAAGGUAAAGGUACUACACUGUUAUCAUAACUUACAAUGUGUGUAUACACUAUAGUGAGAGACUGUCAGGCAAUCCUAAAAGGUAAAGGUACUACACUGUUAUCAUAACUUACAAUGUCUGUAUACACUCUAGUGAGAGACUGUCAGGUAACACUAAAAGGUAAAGGUACUACACAGUUAUCAUAACUUACAAUGUCUGUAUACACUAUCGUGAGAGACUGUCAGGCAAUACUAAAAGGUAAAGGUACUACACUGUUAUCAUAACGUACAAUGUCUGUAUACACUGUAGUGAGAGACUGUCAGGUAUUACUAAAAGGUAAAGGUACUACACUGGUAUCAUAACUUACAAUGUCGGUAUACACUAUAGUGAGAGACUGUCAGGCAAUACUAAAAGGUUAAGGUACUACAUGUACACUGUUCUCUGUAUUUGUCUGUUUACAUACUGGGAAGUAUCUAAUAAACGAGUUAUAUAUUACA